Molecule: long non-coding RNA, 229 nt
Filed under: Lathyrus oleraceus (garden pea)
Lineage: Eukaryota; Viridiplantae; Streptophyta; Magnoliopsida; Fabales; Fabaceae
Description: Pisum sativum (pea) long non-coding RNA (PSAT_LNC025824)
Source: RNAcentral
AAAAUUAAUAUUUUAUGUUCUAAAAUGUAAACGCUGUCCAGCUAAAUUUAAUUUGUUUAUUUAUGUUAAAUGUAGAUAUUUAAUAUGUUAGAGAGGUGCGAGUUUGAUUACAAUUCUGUAUUUUUUUUAAUAGUUUGUUUAUUUGAGUUUAUCUGCGAUAAUUUUAAAAUAAAAUAUGAUUAAAUCGUUUUAAAUAUUGCACAACUGCUCAACUAAAUUGCCUAAACAU